AUUGAACGCUGGCGGCAUGCCUUACACAUGCAAGUCGAACGGUAACAGGUUAAGCUGACGAGUGGCGAACGGGUGAGUAAUGUAUCGGAACGUGCCCAGUCGUGGGGGAUAACUGCUCGAAAGAGCAGCUAAUACCGCAUACGACCUGAGGGUGAAAGCGGGGGAUCGCAAGACCUCGCGCGAUUGGAGCGGCCGAUAUCAGAUUAGGUAGUUGGUGGGGUAAAGGCCUACCAAGCCUACGAUCUGUAGCUGGUCUGAGAGGACGACCAGCCACACUGGGACUGAGACACGGCCCAGACUCCUACGGGGGGCAGCAGUGGGGAAUUUUGGACAAUGGACGCAAGUCUGAUCCAGCCAUGCCGCGCGCGGGAAGAAGGCCUUCGGGUUGUAAACCGCUUUUGUCAGGGAAGAAAAGGUUCUGGUUAAUACCUGGGACUCAUGACGGUACCUGAAGAAUAAGCACCGGCUAACUACGUGCCAGCCGCCGCAGUAA
Molecule: ribosomal RNA, 493 nt
Filed under: uncultured bacterium
Lineage: Bacteria
Description: partial 16S ribosomal RNA
Rfam family: Bacterial small subunit ribosomal RNA
Source: RNAcentral